This 3366-nucleotide ribosomal RNA is filed under the name Triticum aestivum (bread wheat). RNAcentral describes it as "partial small subunit ribosomal RNA". The record is from RNAcentral. Lineage: Eukaryota; Viridiplantae; Streptophyta; Magnoliopsida; Poales; Poaceae.
AUGGCGGAGACGAUAGCCUCCAUGCGCCGCCCGAAGCGUGGCCGCCCGCCAAGGCCGAGGGAGAGCGACUUCGUGACCGGCGAAGAGUUUGAGGACGAGGAGGAGGGGGAGGACCACGCGGAGGCGGCCGAUGGGCUCGCUCCGCCCCGGUCUAAGCGCAAGCGCGAGGUGUCCACCGCCGCCGCCGCCGCGCUCGAGGAUUUGACCCUCAUCGACAUAGUCAAACAUAAUGGCAGGCUAAUCAGCCAUGCUGUCAAAAGAUUGGUCGAGGAUUAUGAAUCAAAUCCAAAGUCAGUGCUAUUUCAGAUAUUAACAAUGUUAUUUGAGGUUUGUGGCGCCAGACAUGAUAUAUAUGCAAGCGACCUUCAUGAGGCAGCUGUGGAUGACAUUGUAUUCAAACUAGCUGAGCUAGCAAGAAAAGGUCUGGUGGAUGAUAAUUAUAGCUCAAAAAGGAAGGACCUUAAGAACUUCAAAGAAAAUCUUGUUACUUUUUGGGAUAGUUUGGUCCUUGAGUGUCAGAAUGGUCCAUUAUUUGAUGAUAACUUAUUCACGACAAUCAAGGAUUACGUGGUUGCUGUAUCAUGUACUCCCCCAAGGGUUUAUCGUCAAGUAGCUUCAUUGGUUGGGCUCCAGCUUGUGACGUCCUUCAUAUCUGUCGCCAAGACUCUCAGUGGACAGCGUGAGACCACCCAAAGGCAGUUGAAUGCAGAGAAGAAGAAGCACAGUGAUGGGCCAGCUGUUGAAUCUCUCAACAAAAGGCUAUCUAUUACUCAUGAAAAUAUUACAUAUUUGGAGGAAUCGAUGCGUAAAAUAUUCAGCGGGUUAUUCAUGCACCGUUAUCGGGAUGUUGACCCUGAGAUCCGAAUAUUAUGCAUAAAAUCCCUAGGUAUUUGGGUUGUCUCAUAUCCAUCACUGUUCUUACAAGACAUAUAUUUAAAGUAUCUUGGGUGGACACUGAAUGACAAGAAUGCUGGAGUUAGAAGAACUUCUAUUCUUGCCUUGCAAAGCCUGUAUGAUGUAGAUGACAACAUACCUUCUCUUGGUCUCUUUACGGAGAGGUUUUAUAGCAGGAUGAUCCAGCUUGCUGAUGAUAUUGAUAUUUCAGUAGCUGUGCCAGCUAUAGGACUCAUCAAGCAAUUACUUCGGCAUCAACUUUUGAGUGACGAUGAUUUGGGUCCCCUAUAUGAUUUGCUUAUUGACGAACCUCCUAUGAUCAGGCGUGCAAUAGGGGAGUUAGUUUAUGAUCACCUGAUAGCACAGAACUGCAAGACCCCUUCUGUAGCUAGAGAUGGGGACAAUGAAUCCUCCGAGAUUCACAUUAGUCGAAUGCUGCACAUCUUAAGGGAAUUUUCGGAUGACCCAGUCCUGAGUUCUUACGUCAUUGAUGAUAUUUGGGAUGACAUGAAGGCCAUGAAAGACUGGAAGUGUAUAAUCUCCAUGCUUCUCGAUGAAACUCCGAUAGCUGAGCUUACUGACAUGGAUGGAACAAAUCUAGUUCGGAUGCUGCGAGCCUCUGCUAAGAAGGCUGUUGGGGAAAGAAUAGUUCCUGCAACUGACAGUAGGAAGAUGUACUACAACAAAUCUCAAAAGGAGAUGUUAGAAAAUAGCAAGGGUGACAUAACCAAUGCCUUGAUGAAGAGGUACCCACAACUUUUGAGAAAGUACUUGCCUGACAAGGCCAAGAUAUCCCCUCUAAUUGAUAUGAUGAUGCUUUUGAAACUUGAGAUGUACUCACUGAAGAGGCAAGAGCAGAAUUUCAAGGCCGUCAUAGAUCUCAUUGUUGAUGCCUUCUUCAAACAUGGUGACAAGGAUACUUUAAGAUCUUGCAUCAAGGCAAUAGCUUUCUGUUGCACAAAGUGUCAGGCGGAUCUUCUAGAUUAUGCUGAAAAUAAACUUAAGAUUCUUGAAGAUGAGUUGGUUUUGAAAGUAAAAACUGCGAUCAAGGAAGUAGAGGCAGGUGAUGAUGAAUACUCUCUCUUGGUUAAUUUGAAGCGACUUCAUGAACUUCAGUUGUCAAAACCUGUUAAAAAUGAUGGUUUAUUUGAAGAUAUGUACCAAAUCCUCAGUCAUCUAAAAGAGAUGGAUAAUGAGGUAAAGAGCUUUCUCCUCAUCAACAUGUUCCUUGAAGUAGCAUGGUGCCUUAAUGCAAUUGACGUUGAAAACCCAUCUGAAACAUCUAUCGAGGGACUUUCUUCCAAGCAAAGGUCUCUCUUUGAACAACUCUAUUAUUUCUUGGUGGUUCUGUCCAAUUAUCAGAAAGAGGGAAGGAGCACCACCGUGCUUUCCUCCAGAGUCUGCAUCAUUACUGCAGAGAUGUGGUGCUUGUUUAAGAAGUCAAAGUAUUCUUCAACAAAGCUAAAAAAUUUGGGUUAUCUCCCACAAUUAGAAUAUGUUCAGAAGUUUUGGAAACUAUGUGAACAGCAGCUGAAUAUAUCAGAUGACACAGAAGAUGAAGACGCAAACGAAGAAUAUAUUGAAGACACAAACAGGGAUGCUGUCAUGAUUGCAGCUGCAAAGCUACUGCUUGCUGAUACAGUUUCAAAGGAUUACCUUGGCCCUGAGAUUGUUUCACACUAUGUAUCUCACGGUGCAAGUACGACAGAGAUCAUCAAGCAUCUCAUUACCGCACUAAAGAAAAAUGCAAACAGCGAUAUAGCUGCUCUAUUCUUUGAGGCAUUGAGACGGGCGUACGAACGGUAUAUGACCUAUUUGCGCGAAGGAGAGAACCAAAACCUGAUAGCCAAAUCUUACUCGGAGUGUCAAGAUCUUGCUAAUCGGCUUGCAGGCUACUAUGUUGGCGCUGUUCGUAUUAAAAACAAGUCUGAGAUCUUAAAGAUUAUCCAGUGCGGUGUUCAAUUUGCCUUUGUGGACCUCCCAAAGCAAUUGUCUUUCCUCGAGGCUGCUCUUGUGCCAUUUGUUUCUAAACUUCCUUCGUCAGAUAUACCAGACAUUUUGACAGAUGUACAGAAGAGGGCACAAGAUACCGAUAUGAAUGAAGAUCCCAGUGCUUGGCGCCCGUACUUAACCUUUGUAGAACACUUACGUGAGAAACAUGCAAGGAAUGAGGUUUUCCACGAAGAAAAGGAGGAAAAGCCUGUAAAACGCAGGGGCCGCCCGAGGAAGCCUAGAGAUGAACCUGUGAGAAAUCUUUUUGAUGGAAACAAAUCUAGUGAUGAAGAGUCUGUUAGUGACUCUGACCAACGGGGGCAUGGUGGAGAUGACGACGACGAGGAUGAUGCUUUUGACCAGCCUUUGAUCAACACGUUUAGGCCUUCCGCAUCCAAGCUAAGAUCGCUGAAGGGGGUUUCUCAACAGGGAACAAGCAGUCAGAGAAAAGCUCCUACGGCUUCAGGAAGCAAUAGCUGA